UCGGGUGUGGUGCAUGGUGCACGUCAGCUGCCAGUAAUAAGAACUCGAUUAGACUUCACGUUGAAGACCGGGGUUCGACUCCCCGCACCCGAA
Molecule: non-coding RNA, 93 nt
Organism: Mycena leptocephala
Lineage: Eukaryota; Fungi; Basidiomycota; Agaricomycetes; Agaricales; Mycenaceae
Source: the annotation of a GenBank genome assembly